Folsomia candida is the source of this 1247-nucleotide long non-coding RNA. RefSeq lists it as uncharacterized. Lineage: Eukaryota; Metazoa; Arthropoda; Collembola; Entomobryomorpha; Isotomidae. The transcript is spliced from 5 exons. The record is from RefSeq and is a predicted model, not a curated record.
UUCAUAUUUAUUAGUUUUUGCAUUAUCUACAAUUUAAAUAUUAAAUUCCAAAAGAUGGAACACAACUUAAACAUCGAGGUUAGACAGGUUGCCGAUAGGAAUCGUAAGUUAAAGAUGAUGGCAGCCGCAUUAUUUGGAGGCGUUGCUCAAGUAGCCUUAAUGCAUCCUAUGGACACGGUUGAGACAAGAAUGCAAGUAAUGGGGUAUAAGGGACAAGUAACGGCUUUCCCUUCCAUCUACAAGGGAUCUUGGGACUGCUGUGUGAAGACGUUAAAACAAGAAGGGCCUCUCGGCAUGUUUCGAGGUUUAUAGCUAUCAAGCCCUAUUAAAUCUAAAUAGACUUAAGUCGAGUAUUAAUUUUAAAAAGACUUAACUCCAAAGAAAUUCUAGAAAAACUGUUACUUAGAGCUGGGGCUAAAUCGCCUUUUUAGUUUUUUUUGUGCGCCUAGGUCCAUUCAAAAUUGACAUGCGACCGCACUUUCGCCAGUUUAGGAUUUGAUGGACGAUAAUUAAGAAAUUAAUAUUUGUCAAAUGUUACUAGCAUAAAAUGAGAUAUCUUUUAUCAAGAAUGUCGCCUUUUCUAAUGGCUCAAGCACCAUUGUCUGCAUGUGGUAUCUUGGUUUUUGACAUGGGCAAACUUGUGAUGCAGAAAGUAACCAAAAAUCCCCAACUAAGUGAUACAGAAACCACUGCAGCAAGGCUUGUCUCGGUGUGUUGAUCUCUUCUAUGCUUCUGACUCCAGGAGAGAGAGAAUCAAAUGUUUGAUUCAAUGUCAGACCCCAGAAACUCCACAAAAUUAUAAUGACCCCAUGGACUGUAUUAAAAAACUCAUUGCUCAAGGUGGUAUCUCCAAUCUUUAUAAAGGAUUUUGGAUGACGUAUCUUCGAGGCAUCUCUCAGGUGGCUAUUUAUUUCCCCACAAUUCGUGUAAUUAACUAUCAUAUUACACCUGAUAACGGAGUAAUGAGCAUGGAGCGAGCAUUCCUUGCCUGAAUGUCUGCCAGCGUCGUAGUGUGGACGGCAAUUCUUCCGAUAGAUGGAGUCAAAACCAUUUUACAAACGGCUCCUGCUGAAGGCUCCCAUCCUAAAACUGUUAGAUCCAUAGUAACCGCGAUAUAUAAAAAUGACGGAAUUCCGGGAUUUUUUCGUGGAGUUAUGCCAGUCGCAAUUAGAACAAUGAUAGCAAUUGGUUCAGUAUUUGGCGGACUUAACGUGGUCAUGCACGCGUUGAACGUUGAUGAAUUAACG